Molecule: ribosomal RNA, 1157 nt
Filed under: Enterococcus faecium
Lineage: Bacteria; Bacillati; Bacillota; Bacilli; Lactobacillales; Enterococcaceae
Description: bacterial SSU rRNA
Rfam family: Bacterial small subunit ribosomal RNA
Source: RNAcentral
AAGGGGAUAACACUUGGAAACAGGUGCUAAUACCGUAUAACAAUCGAAACCGCAUGGUUUUGAUUUGAAAGGCGCUUUCGGGUGUCGCUGAUGGAUGGACCCGCGGUGCAUUAGCUAGUUGGUGAGGUAACGGCUCACCAAGGCCACGAUGCAUAGCCGACCUGAGAGGGUGAUCGGCCACAUUGGGACUGAGACACGGCCCAAACUCCUACGGGAGGCAGCAGUAGGGAAUCUUCGGCAAUGGACGAAAGUCUGACCGAGCAACGCCGCGUGAGUGAAGAAGGUUUUCGGAUCGUAAAACUCUGUUGUUAGAGAAGAACAAGGAUGAGAGUAACUGUUCAUCCCUUGACGGUAUCUAACCAGAAAGCCACGGCUAACUACGUGCCAGCAGCCGCGGUAAUACGUAGGUGGCAAGCGUUGUCCGGAUUUAUUGGGCGUAAAGCGAGCGCAGGCGGUUUCUUAAGUCUGAUGUGAAAGCCCCCGGCUCAACCGGGGAGGGUCAUUGGAAACUGGGAGACUUGAGUGCAGAAGAGGAGAGUGGAAUUCCAUGUGUAGCGGUGAAAUGCGUAGAUAUAUGGAGGAACACCAGUGGCGAAGGCGGCUCUCUGGUCUGUAACUGACGCUGAGGCUCGAAAGCGUGGGGAGCAAACAGGAUUAGAUACCCUGGUAGUCCACGCCGUAAACGAUGAGUGCUAAGUGUUGGAGGGUUUCCGCCCUUCAGUGCUGCAGCUAACGCAUUAAGCACUCCGCCUGGGGAGUACGACCGCAAGGUUGAAACUCAAAGGAAUUGACGGGGGCCCGCACAAGCGGUGGAGCAUGUGGUUUAAUUCGAAGCAACGCGAAGAACCUUACCAGGUCUUGACAUCCUUUGACCACUCUAGAGAUAGAGCUUCCCCUUCGGGGGCAAAGUGACAGGUGGUGCAUGGUUGUCGUCAGCUCGUGUCGUGAGAUGUUGGGUUAAGUCCCGCAACGAGCGCAACCCUUAUUGUUAGUUGCCAUCAUUCAGUUGGGCACUCUAGCAAGACUGCCGGUGACAAACCGGAGGAAGGUGGGGAUGACGUCAAAUCAUCAUGCCCCUUAUGACCUGGGCUACACACGUGCUACAAUGGGAAGUACAACGAGUUGCGAAGUCGCGAGGCUAAGCUAAUCUCUUAAAG